AUCCAGCUGACGAGUCCCAGAUAAGAUGAAACGCGCGUCCUCGAU
Non-coding RNA from Schistosoma mansoni, 45 nucleotides. Lineage: Eukaryota; Metazoa; Platyhelminthes; Trematoda; Strigeidida; Schistosomatidae. The record is from Rfam.